This is a long non-coding RNA of Cyanistes caeruleus (blue tit), 441 nucleotides long. RefSeq lists it as uncharacterized. The record is from RefSeq and is a predicted model, not a curated record. Lineage: Eukaryota; Metazoa; Chordata; Aves; Passeriformes; Paridae.
AGGAUCAUCCAGUCCAACUCCUGGCCCUGCACAGACACCCCAACAAUCCCACCCUGUGCCUGGAAGAGUGGUCCAAAUGCCUGGAGCUCUUGGAGCCUCAAGGCUGUGCCCAUUCCCUCAGAGCCUGAAGGGCUCCAGCAAUCCAUGUGCUAUCCCAGCUUGUUGAAGUGGCUGAGGAGACGGCUCUCGCUGUGCCUGGUGCUGCCUUUGGAGAUGCCUUUGGAGCACUGGGAGUAGCAACUUCCAGCAUCCUCCAGGGACUGGGAUUUCAAAGGAAGACAACAGCCAAGAGGGGCCGAGCUCAGGCUUCACAGAACAACUUCAGGGUCCAUAAAUGAACAUCUCUGUUGUUUGCUCCUGGAUUUUGGAACUCGAGCAUAUGGAUCCUGCUCCUUUUCUGACCCGGAGCAGUGAUAAAGAAAGGAUUAUUCCCACCAAAAA